Molecule: ribosomal RNA, 459 nt
Filed under: Bacillus subtilis
Lineage: Bacteria; Bacillati; Bacillota; Bacilli; Caryophanales; Bacillaceae
Description: bacterial SSU rRNA
Rfam family: Bacterial small subunit ribosomal RNA
Source: RNAcentral
CACGUGUAGCGGUGAAAUUGCGUAGAGAUGUGGAGGAACACCAGUGGCGAAGGCGACUCUCUGGUCUGUAACUGACGCUGAGGAGCGAAAGCGUGGGGAGCGAACAGGAUUAGAUACCCUGGUAGUCCACGCCGUAAACGAUGAGUGCUAAAUGUUAGGUGGUUUCCGCCCCUUAGUGCUGCAGCUAACGCAUUAAGCUCUCCGCCUGGGGAGUACGGUCGCAAGACUGAAACUCAAAGGAAUUGACGGGGGCCCGCACAAGCGGUGGAGCAUGUGGUUUAAUUCGAAGCAACGCGAAGAACCUUACCUGGUCUUGACAUCCUGUGACGAUCCUAGAGAUAGGACGUCCCCUUCGGGGGCACAGUGACAGGUGGUGCAUGGUUGUCGUCAGCUCGUGUCGUGAGAUGUUGGGUUAAGUCCCGCAACGAGCGCAACCCUUGAUCUUAGUUGCCAGCAUUC